GCACGGGAGAGGGAGACGGGGAAAAGAGGCAAGGGUGUAGGGGGUAUUUAUAGGGGAGAGCUAGAGAUAAAUCUUGUUAUCCAUCUCUGAAAUAGAUAAUAUUUGAAAGGGAUAAAAAUUAGAGUCCUAAUUUAUUGGAAUUGAUUUUUUAGUUGGAGAUAGAGACGGGGCUGGUUGUUUGGCCGUGGGGAGGGAGUUGGUGCUGCACGGCUUGGAGAGGGAGGGACGCAUGCACAUGGGGGAGAGGAGGAGAUCGUACGGGAGAGGCAGAGGGGAAAUCAGCCAAAAGAUAAAAUGAAAA
Molecule: long non-coding RNA, 301 nt
Filed under: Oryza brachyantha (malo sina)
Lineage: Eukaryota; Viridiplantae; Streptophyta; Magnoliopsida; Poales; Poaceae
Description: long non-coding RNA (OBRA_LNC001728)
Source: RNAcentral